GUGAACGCUGGCGGUAGGCCUAACACAUGCAAGUCGAACGGCAGCACCGUAAGAGCUUGCUCUUACGGGUGGCGAGUGGCGGACGGGUGAGGAAUACAUCGGAAUCUACUUUUUCGUGGGGGAUAACGUAGGGAAACUUACGCUAAUACCGCAUACGACCUACGGGUGAAAGCAGGGGAUCUUCGGACCUUGCGCGAUUGAAUGAGCCGAUGUCGGAUUAGCUAGUUGGCGGGGAAAAGGCCCACCAAGGCGACGAUCCGUAGCUGGUCUGAGAGGAUGAUCAGCCACACUGGAACUGAGACACGGUCCAGACUCCUACGGGAGGCAGCAGUGGGGAAUAUUGGACAAUGGGCGCAAGCCUGAUCCAGCCAUACCGCGUGGGUGAAGAAGGCCUUCGGGUUGUAAAGCCCUUUUGUUGGGAAAGAAAAGCAGCAGGUUAAUACCCCGCUGUUCUGACGGUACCCAAAGAAUAAGCACCGGCUAACUUCGUG
This 491-nucleotide ribosomal RNA is filed under the name uncultured bacterium. RNAcentral describes it as "partial 16S ribosomal RNA". It matches the Rfam family "Bacterial small subunit ribosomal RNA", at positions 29 to 507 of the family's 1533-position model. The record is from RNAcentral.